UACGAAGGGGGCUAGCGUUGCUCGGAAUCACUGGGCGUAAAGCGCACGUAGGCGGCUUUCUAAGUCAGGGGUGAAAUCCUGGAGCUCAACUCCAGAACUGCCUUUGAUACUGGAGAGCUUGAGUCCGGAAGAGGUGAGUGGAACUCCGAGUGUAGAGGUGAAAUUCGUAGAUACUCGGAAGAACACCAGUGGCGAAGGCGGCUCACUGGUCCGGUACUGACGCUGAGGUGCGAAAGCGUGGGGAGCAAACAGG
This 253-nucleotide ribosomal RNA is filed under the name uncultured bacterium. RNAcentral's name for it is "partial 16S ribosomal RNA". It matches the Rfam family "Bacterial small subunit ribosomal RNA", at positions 524 to 776 of the family's 1533-position model. The record is from RNAcentral.